AUAUCCUAUUGAUACAAUCAGUUUGCAAUGGGUCUGUAUGAAUGUCAUGAAUCUAUUGCUAGAUAUUAUGAAAUAUGAGUAUUGAUUGCCUUCAUAUGUUAUGCAUUAGAUGAUAUUGAUGAGAAGAAUUUCUUGAUAUGCAUAUGGACUAGAGUUUAUGAUCUGGGUUCUUCUCCCAAAAGUUUGAUUACAAACCCUUGGCUGUCUGAGCACUCUUAAUCUGUUUUCUAUUAUCUUCCAAUCUGUAGUUUUGCAAAACCCAUAAAAAAUUUCUCAAAUUUAUUGGCUUUUUUUUUGCUGUAAAAUUGUUCUUGUUUGGUAGGGUUUAUAUGGCAGUAUGGAGCUUAUGAUGAUAAUUUUUAAAUAUCUUAGCGGAUUUCAGUGAGACCUUAGGGUGAAUGAUCUGAUUGUUACACACACUGAGGCUCAAAUUUUAAUUAUUUUUCCUUCAAAUUUUCACAGUAGUUUUGGUUUGGUUUAAAGCGUGCAAAUCUUGAUUUGUUGGGUUGUGGUUUGCGAUGAUGAGAUGAAACACUGGACGUGUUUUGGGCAGUGGACAAGCUCAUUUGGUAUUCUUUAUUCUUUGAUUACAAUUGGACGUGAUUCCAUUACAUUCAUUAAGCAACGAAACCCUGAAAGGAUCUCUCUCCCUCUCUGUAUUCUUUGAUUCAUUUGGUAGAAACCCGUUCGUUUUUAGAGGCAAAAGAAGCAUUGUGAAGUGGGCAUAAGGUAGAAACCCGUUUGUUUUUCAAAGGUUUAGAUUCUGUCAUUUUGUGCAGAACUAAUCAUUUCCUGCUCUGAUAUUCUAUAGUUGUGAUAUUUGAUCAGGAUGCAGGUUUGACACUUUGUCGAAUUGGAACAAUGAUGAUGGAGAAGCCAUGGGAGCUGCAAAACAUGUUUUGUUUGCAGCUCUAUAAGUAUAUUUGAAUCCGAUUAUUUUCUUAUUUUUAUGUGUUCUAACUCAAAUUGGUUUGAUUUAUUUUAUUAUAUUUUGUAGAAAUGGGGAGUAAAACAUCCAUGACAAAUUUGAAUAAGACUCUCCCUUCUUAGUGUGAUUAAGAUAUGUUGGAAGGUUGCUUUGUGAAGGCUUUUGGAAGAAUGGAUGCAGCAGAUUUUUUGCAAGGAUAUUAUCUCUAUGUGUAUUUUUGUGAUGGGUUGUAAUCUUUAAUGUCAUAAGUUUAAUUUGGUUUGUGUAUUAUUUUUUGUAAUGGUUUGUAAGAGAUUAUAUUUCCUUUCCUUGGUUGGUUGGUUGAAUUGAAUGUGUGUAUGUGAGAUUUAUUUAGUUUAGAAACUUAGAUUGGAAUGAUGGAUUUUUAUAGCUUGAAUUUACAUAAUUUCAGGUUUUGAAAGA
Molecule: long non-coding RNA, 1351 nt
Organism: Prunus persica (peach)
Lineage: Eukaryota; Viridiplantae; Streptophyta; Magnoliopsida; Rosales; Rosaceae
Exons: 2
Source: RefSeq, a predicted model, not a curated record